GACGAACGCUGGCGGCGUGCCUAAUACAUGCAAGUAGAACGCUGAAGGAGGAGCUUGCUUCUCUGGAUGAGUUGCGAACGGGUGAGUAACGCGUAGGUAACCUGCCUGGUAGCGGGGGAUAACUAUUGGAAACGAUAGCUAAUACCGCAUAAUAGCAGUUGUUGCAUGACAACUGUUUGAAAGGUGCAAUUGCACCACUACCAGAUGGACCUGCGUUGUAUUAGCUAGUUGGUGGGGUAACGGCUCACCAAGGCGACGAUACAUAGCCGACCUGAGAGGGUGAUCGGCCACACUGGGACUGAGACACGGCCCAGACUCCUACGGGAGGCAGCAGUAGGGAAUCUUCGGCAAUGGACGGAAGUCUGACCGAGCAACGCCGCGUGAGUGAAGAAGGGUUUCGGAUCGUAAAGCUCUGUUGUAAGAGAAGAACGAGUGUGAGAGUGGAAAGUUCACACUGUGACGGUAUCUUACCAGAAAGGGUCGGCUAACUACGUG
Molecule: ribosomal RNA, 495 nt
Filed under: uncultured bacterium
Lineage: Bacteria
Description: partial 16S ribosomal RNA
Rfam family: Bacterial small subunit ribosomal RNA
Source: RNAcentral